This 225-nucleotide unclassified non-coding RNA is filed under the name plant metagenome. RNAcentral's name for it is "partial contains small subunit ribosomal RNA, internal transcribed spacer 1, and 5.8S ribosomal RNA". The record is from RNAcentral.
UCUCCGUUGGUGAACCAGCGGAGGGAUCAUUACAGGACUCGCAAGACUCCUACAACCCUGUGAACUUAACUAUAAGCACGUUGCUUCGGCGGGUGUCUCGGAGGGGGUUCUCCCUCCCCGGGACGCUAAACCCGCCGGCAGCCUACUAUACUCUGUCUCUUUGCGUUGGCAUCUCGAGUACAAUCAAACAAGUUAAAACUUUCAACAACGGAUCUCUUGGUUCUG